This is an RNA transcript of Motacilla alba alba, 5605 nucleotides long. It is a transcript of the gene named granulocyte-macrophage colony-stimulating factor receptor subunit alpha-like, with no coding region annotated. The record is from RefSeq and is a predicted model, not a curated record. The transcript is spliced from 19 exons. NCBI's taxonomy places the organism in Eukaryota, Metazoa, Chordata, Aves, Passeriformes, Motacillidae.
GAUGGUUCCCCAAAACACAAGGAGCAAGGGAGACAGCCCUAUUUAUAGUUAUACAGCCUUUUAAAAUAUAGUCUUUCCAUCUCCUCUGAACCUGAAGAUUAUAAUAGAAAGAUAAACGAGGUAAAGACAUUUUGAAAUAAAAAGGCAUGAAGGGGUCAGCCAUUGAAAACUUCUCCUGUGUGAUUUAUAACAUCUUCCUCAUGAACUGCACUUGGCAGGCAGGAAGGGAUGCUCCAGCAGACACACAGUAUUUUCUCUACUGGCAGAAGUCAAGAGAUGAAGAGGAGAUGGAAUGUGAGCAUUACAUUAAGGAUGAAAAUUGCAGAAAUGUGGGCUGUAUCUUCCAAAACGUGAGCAUAGGGAUUGAAAAAGCUUACUUCCUGGUGAAUGGGUCUAGCAAAGACUCCCUGAUCCAGUUCUAUGAUGAGUACAUUGACCUGUAUAAAAUUGAAAAGCUCAUGCCUCCAUCAAAUAUCACAGUCAGCUGUGAUGAAAUUAAAAAUGAUUGUGUAACUCAAUGGCAGCGACCUCAAAUAAGUCAUUCUAACAAAGACAUGUGCUUCAAAUAUGAAAUUAACAUAAAGUAUAAGGAUAAUCCUAAAGGAAAACCCAUAUAUACUUCCAUACAAGAAGGGGGAAAUAGUAACAUAUUUCUAAGAUCAGAUACAAGAAAGAAGUACGUCUUGAAGAUGAGAGCAGCUGGCAGUGCCUGCUUUGUGAACCCAGCCUGGGGGGAAUGGAGUGCACCUGUUGAGUUUGGAAAUGAGGAAAUUAUGUCUUCUUCAACAUGGAUUUUACUUGGGGUAGCAGUUGCAACACCUUUAAUGACAAUCAUCACAUUUUUUUUCUGCAAAAGGACUGGCUGUUGGAAGGCAGCAUUUCCACAGAUCCCAGGACCAAAACCUGCUUUUUUUACACUGGCUGAUACAAAUUCAGAGGUUUCAUUAUCUCUUUCCAGAGAAGGAAAUAUGUUUGAUACUCUUGGACUCAUUUGUAUGAUUUUGUGGUAUAUGAUGCUAUUUCAUCCCUUGCAUGCUGACAUCCAGUGUAUGGAGUCAGAUGCACAGGAAUCACCUAUUACAAAUGUGAAUGUGGACUGGAAGAAAAUGGAGCUGUCCUGGGAGAGCAGCAGGAAUUUCUCUGAGUACAAAUGUAUCAUCAUGGGCAGAGGCAUGGAAUAUAUAGACCCAGAGGUGUUUAGUCCACUAUGCAGCUUUCCAGUGGAACUACACAUGCCUCUGCACAAAGGGAUAACCUUUAUCAUCGAAGUGCCAAACACAAACAUCUCAAAACAAUGCAGCUUUCUCCCUGGAGGCAUGAAGGGGUCAGCCAUUGAAAACUUCUCCUGUGUGAUUUAUAACAUCUUCCUCAUGAACUGCACUUGGCAGGCAGGAAGGGAUGCUCCAGCAGACACACAGUAUUUUCUCUACUGGCAGAAGUCAAGAGAUGAAGAGGAGAUGGAAUGUGAGCAUUACAUUAAGGAUGAAAAUUGCAGAAAUGUGGGCUGUAUCUUCCAAAACGUGAGCAUAGGGAUUGAAAAAGCUUACUUCCUGGUGAAUGGGUCUAGCAAAGACUCCCUGAUCCAGUUCUAUGAUGAAUACAUUGAACUGUAUAAAAUUGAAAUACUCACUGCUCCAUUAAAUGUCACUGCCCAUUGUACCAGAGAUCCAACGGGCUGCAUAAUUACAUGGCAUCCACCCCUUACAAGUCAUGUGGAAAACACAAAGUGUUUUCAGUAUGAAAUUAGCAUACAAAAUAAGGAUGAGCCCAAAGAAGAGAAAAAGCUUCCUCGUGUAAGGAAUGACAGAUAUGAAUUCCAAAAUUACAAUGAGAAAAAAAGAUAUACCCUGAAAAUCAGAGCACGUGGAAAAAACUGUCUCGUAAGCUCAAAUUGGGGGGAAUGGAGUGAACCCAUUGAGUUUGGUCAAGGAAAAGAUUACUUUAUUUUUGUGAUUUUAUUUCUGAUUGCACUUGGAACAAUCUCAAUUACACUUCUCCUGUAUUGUCUUUUCAAAAGGUACUGCAGUUUCAAGAACCUAUUUCCUCCCAUACCACAACCAAGAGACAAAUUCAAUGCUUUAACUGAUGAAGAUAUCCAGGUAUGAUUUCUUCUCAAUUCAGUCAAAUUUGUUAACUUCAAACCACCACAGGCCAAAGACUAGAAGAACUGACUUAUAAAAGUAAGUGUUAACAUUUGGUCCAAAACUAAUUUCUGUCAUGCAAGCUAUUCUGCUUUGAAACCUUUGAAAUGCUCUAUGCCAACACUAAAAGAUUGUCCUGGAGAUAUUUACUGACAUAUUUUAAGACCAGAAUUUACACUUUCACUGAGAGUAAAUUUUCUGUAAUUUCUGUGUGUACCAGCUUUGCAAGGUUGCUGUUCAUACUUUAAAAAGACCCAAAGUGGGGAUACAUUUUCCAUUAGCAUUUUAAAACACCAAUGGUCAUAAUAUAACAUGAAUAUAUAUUUCAUAAGCCUGACCUAUACCCAUGUAAAAAUCCGAUUACACUUAAUGCAAAUCAACAAGGCUGGAAAGACUUAACAGUUAAACAAACCUUCUUCUUGCUUCAACACAAGAUUUGCAAUUUCAGUGUUUUGGGUGAAUUGACCAGUACACUGUAGCAUCUGUGUGCAGCCUAUUCUGCGUGUUUAUUCAGCCUUACUUUUAAAAAGCCUUUUUAAUAGCUUGGUUUAAUGAACCUAAAAUCCAUUACUUUUUACCCUUAUUCCUUUCCUGUUUACAGUGUCUUACACCUGCACACUGUCAACAACAAGUAACUCUUCUGUCUAUCACUACAACCAGGCUUCAAACCAUUCAUGCUUCUCCAAGCCAUCCAUUUGAGCAGUGGUUUGUAUGGUGACUGCACAGUGAGGGGAUGCUUUCCCUCAGCUGGCUAAAGCAAAGACAUACUUGAAGUCAGUCAAUCAGACAGAAUAUGUAAAUCUACCAACAAAAAGUCAUACUGAGAAAAUAACUACAGUUGAAGAAUGAGCCAACUUUCCAAAACCACACCUGAUUCCCCAACGUGAAAGAAAAUUAUGGAUCCUGCUGACAAGAACUUCAAACCAGCCUAUAAAGGAAUAUAAUCACCUAUAGAACCGUUUGUCCCCUUAAAAUCCACUUAAAAUGGAGUACAUGAAAAAAAGGAGCAAAAUCACUGAAAUUUGUUCUUUCCCCUUUGUUCAAACCCACAAUGCCUGGCAACUAAGCUUUUCUGCAAGCACCUACUUAGAAGUGCUUAAACCUUGCUAAGAGGUUCUUCACAAUGUGAGACAAGCCCUCUCAGCCAGAAUAAAGCUGAUACUUCUUGACGUCAUUGCUAUGAAGCUUCUUUCCUCAUUAUCAUGAUUUCCUGUGGGUUGACAACCUUGCUGUAAAAUGCCACAGUAGUUUUACUGUAAUUUCUUUAUGCCCAGUUAUUUUUAAAGCCCAAACCAGCUAUUUAGAAUGUGUUUAAAUUUGCUCUUUGAUCUUCCAAGCAGUAACACCAAGCUAUCCCAAUAUGUGCAAUUAACUUUAUGCAAGACAAGAACAGAAAAUAAAAUUAUUCUUGUCAAAUAUAAUUAUUAAUACUGGCCUUAGUCAGCCAUUUCAUGAGUUCAGUAUUGCAACUGUAAGUAGACCUCUGCAACACUGUGAUCCUGUGCACUUUUAGUAUGUAUCUAAGUAACACAAAAAGCACUGAAAGCCUUCAAAAAAUCUAAUAGUUGUGAGAAUAUAAAAUAAGAUUUAAUAUUUAAGAGCUAGAUGUUACAUGUAAAAAUUCCUCACAAAUGUAUUUUAGUUUCUCCCUUCAAAGGGUGCAAAUGCUAUUUCCAAUGCCUUUUAAAAAUAAUACAGGCUUUAGAUGCCAGUAUUUUCUUUUACAAAUGCUGGAUGGUUUCCUGUUCAUACUGUUCUAAAUGAAUGAAUUUCAGUGUUUCAAUAAGACAGAGAACAAAUGUUUUUUUAAAAGUCUCAUUUAUUGUUUGCCUCUUACAUCCCUAAACUGCAUCACACAUUGGAAAUUGCUGCUGCAUGACUAAGGGAAGCCAUAUAUUAAAAAAAAAAAACCAAACCUGAACACCACAAAUUAGUUCAUAUUGAAUGUAUAGCAUAGGGAAACUGCAAUUUGAUUUAAACUCUGUGUCCCGGUUUAGGGAAAAAUUGGGAGCAUUUGUUUCUUUUCCUAUUUCUUUUCAUUAAACCUUGUUCUGAAGGGGAGAUUGGGUGUGAAAGUUGCUGUCAGGGGCUGCUGAAGUAACUACCACAUUUGGUUUCUCUCUAUGCUUGGGCUCUCUCACAGGGAGGUAUCCCAUCAUUAUCUCUACCCUUGCAAGGCACUGAUACAGAAAGAAACCUGAUUAAUGUUUUUAUAUAGACAAAAUGUCUUCCCCUGCUCCCCCAAUAAUUGACUGGCAGGGUUAACACCAAAUGACCUGCCUGCACCACAGGGAGCUGCUACUGCCACACAGGAUGUAAGAACCACUUGUAGUAGGUAGAUGAAGUUUGCCCGUAGCCUGUGCACGAAGCAGCUGUGUCAUGUCCUUACAUUCACAUACAGAUGAAAGCAGUGCUUGUGCAACAGUGAAAGGAAAAAGGUAAAGUACACUCAGGAGGAAGGUAAUAACCAGCCAAGCAGGAAAUUUAAAUACUUCAUCUUGAAUAGCAAUCUCAGAAGGCACACAGAAGAACUCAAGACAGCUCAGUCAGCCUUCAAUGAGUCACACAAUGACACACUUUUCCUUUCUCACGAUAUAGGAAGAACUCUUAAAACAUGUAGUUCAACACCUUCUUUUCCUCUACUGGUCCCUCUACAAUGUCUUUGCAGAUUACAAAGUACAAAAGAUUAUAUACAUAUGAAGAACGGCACAUAGGUAUUACAUUAUCUCAAAGAGCAGUUAUGAGAAAUUACUCAAUCUGGUCUUCUGACCAUCCCUAAACAUCAAUCAGUUAAUACUGAAGGCUGACCUACUUUGAUCUGUAUAUUUACAGCUACAUAGAAACACACACAUUCCCUCCCCACAACCCUUCAACUUCACCUAUUAGACUGCAACUCAUUUCAGAUUAAAUUCAACCUUUCACAGAGCUACUGACCACUGCUAGAGAUGAGGCCAAACAGUAUCCUGAAUGGCACUAUCAGCAUUUCCAAUCAGCAGCAACAAUGCAAUACAUAGGUCACUCAGAAGUUGAAGGCAUUUACUGGGUUCCUGGGUUUUUGCAUGAAUGCCAUGAUGCUUUCCAUACUGAUUUGACAAAAAAAUUUUUUAUUUUAGGCUGUUUUACCAAGGGCAAGAGCAUUACUUUUGAACAGUCCCUGGUACUUUGGGUUUUCCUAGCACUACUACUGAACCCCCACCCCAUAAUUUUAAAUCACAGAAGUUGUAAAUCAAUUUCUAAGAAUCAUGCAAAAAGCCACCUGCAGCAGCCCAUCACACACUAUCAGGCACAAGGAAUGGGAGUGGUUUCUAUUAGUAUAACCCAUGCUUCCCCACCCCUCCUUCCUAAAGAUCUCACAUUAAAUUUUUUUUUUAAAAGCUUAUUUGUGUAAAGGUAUCACAGGACCCAUUAUCUGAAACAAGUUUUCAAAUACAAGAGGCUUUUCCAAAGCUUUUAUAUAAUAAUUU